Molecule: ribosomal RNA, 862 nt
Filed under: uncultured Flavobacteriaceae bacterium
Lineage: Bacteria; Pseudomonadati; Bacteroidota; Flavobacteriia; Flavobacteriales; Flavobacteriaceae
Description: bacterial SSU rRNA
Rfam family: Bacterial small subunit ribosomal RNA
Source: RNAcentral
GCUAGCGGCAGGCUUCAUACAUGCAAGUCGAGGGGCAGCAUAAAUUACUUGUAAUUUGAUGGCGACCGGCGAACGGGUGCGUAACGCGUAUGCAACUUACCUUUUACUAGAGAAUAGCCAAGAGAAAUUUUGAUUAAUGCUCUAUGUUUUUAUUAACUCGCAUGAGUUAAUAAGCAAAGCUCCGGCGGUAAAAGAUGGGCAUGCGUCCUAUUAGCUUGUAGGUGAGGUAACGGCUCACCUAAGCUCCGAUAGGUAGGGGUCCUGAGAGGGAGAUCCCCCACACUGGUACUGAGACACGGACCAGACUUCUACGGAAGGCAGCAGUAAGGAAUAUUGGACAAUGGAGGCAACUCUGAUCCAGCCAUGCCGCGUGAAGGAAGACGGCCUUAUGGGUUGUAAACUUCUUUUAUACAGGAAGAAACCUUUCCACGAGUGGAAAGCUGACGGUACUGUAAGAAUAAGGAUCGGCUAACUCCGUGCCAGCAGCCGCGGUAAUACGGAGGAUCCAAGCGUUAUCCGGAAUUAUUGGGUUUAAAGGGUCCGCAGGCUGUUUGUUAAGUCAGAGGUGAAAUCCUACCGCUCAACGGUAGAACUGCCUUUGAUACUGGCAAACUUGAGUUAUUGUGAAGUAGUUAGAAUGUGUAGUGUAGCGGUGAAAUGCAUAGAUAUUACACAGAAUACCGAUUGCGAAAGCAGAUUACUAACAAUAUACUGACGCUGAGGGACGAAAGCGUGGGUAGCGAACAGGAUUAGAUACCCUGGUAGUCCACGCCGUAAACGAUGGUCACUAGCUGUUCGAUGUACAUUGGUACAUUGAGUGGCUAAGCGAAAGUGAUAAGUGACCCACCUGGGGAGUACGCUC